This 573-nucleotide ribosomal RNA is filed under the name uncultured Janthinobacterium sp. Its description in RNAcentral is "bacterial SSU rRNA". It matches the Rfam family "Bacterial small subunit ribosomal RNA", at positions 790 to 1368 of the family's 1533-position model. The record is from RNAcentral. Lineage: Bacteria; Pseudomonadati; Pseudomonadota; Betaproteobacteria; Burkholderiales; Oxalobacteraceae.
GUAGUCCACGCCCUAAACGAUGUCUACUAGUUGUCGGGUUUUAAUUAACUUGGUAACGCAGCUAACGCGUGAAGUAGACCGCCUGGGGAGUACGGUCGCAAGAUUAAAACUCAAAGGAAUUGACGGGGACCCGCACAAGCGGUGGAUGAUGUGGAUUAAUUCGAUGCAACGCGAAAAACCUUACCUACCCUUGACAUGUACGGAAGCCACGAGAGAUCGAGGCGUGCUCGAAAGAGAGCCGUAACACAGGUGCUGCAUGGCUGUCGUCAGCUCGUGUCGUGAGAUGUUGGGUUAAGUCCCGCAACGAGCGCAACCCUUGUCAUUAGUUGCUACGAAAGGGCACUCUAAUGAGACUGCCGGUGACAAACCGGAGGAAGGUGGGGAUGACGUCAAGUCCUCAUGGCCCUUAUGGGUAGGGCUUCACACGUCAUACAAUGGUACAUACAGAGGGCCGCCAACCCGCGAGGGGGAGCUAAUCCCAGAAGGUGUAUCGUAGUCCGGAUUGUAGUCUGCAACUCGACUACAUGAAGUUGGAAUCGCUAGUAAUCGCGGAUCAGCAUGUCGCGAUGAAUA